GAGUUUGAUCAUGGCUCAGAUUGAACGCUGGCGGCAGGCCUAACACAUGCAAGUCGAGCGGUAGAGAGAAGCUUGCUUCUCUUGAGAGCGGCGGACGGGUGAGUAAUGCCUAGGAAUCUGCCUGGUAGUGGGGGAUAACGCUCGGAAACGGACGCUAAUACCGCAUACGUCCUACGGGAGAAAGCAGGGGACCUUCGGGCCUUGCGCUAUCAGAUGAGCCUAGGUCGGAUUAGCUAGUUGGUGAGGUAAUGGCUCACCAAGGCGACGAUCCGUAACUGGUCUGAGAGGAUGAUCAGUCACACUGGAACUGAGACACGGUCCAGACUCCUACGGGAGGCAGCAGUGGGGAAUAUUGGACAAUGGGCGAAAGCCUGAUCCAGCCAUGCCGCGUGUGUGAAGAAGGUCUUCGGAUUGUAAAGCACUUUAAGUUGGAGGAAGGGCAGUAAAUUAAUACUUUGCUGUUUUGACGUUACCGACAGAAUAAGCACCGGCUAACUCUGUGCCAGCCG
This 509-nucleotide ribosomal RNA is filed under the name uncultured bacterium. Its description in RNAcentral is "bacterial SSU rRNA". It matches the Rfam family "Bacterial small subunit ribosomal RNA", at positions 9 to 514 of the family's 1533-position model. The record is from RNAcentral.